RNAcentral lists this ribosomal RNA (169 nucleotides) under Aeromonas salmonicida subsp. salmonicida 01-B526. RNAcentral describes it as "partial 16S ribosomal RNA". It matches the Rfam family "Bacterial small subunit ribosomal RNA", at positions 245 to 414 of the family's 1533-position model. Lineage: Bacteria; Pseudomonadati; Pseudomonadota; Gammaproteobacteria; Aeromonadales; Aeromonadaceae. The record is from RNAcentral.
CUUGUUGGUGAGGUAAUGGCUCACCAAGGCGACGAUCAGUAGCUGGUCUGAGAGGAUGACAGCCACACUGGAACUGAGACACGGUCCAGACUCCUACGGGAGGCAGCAGUGAGGAAUAUUGCACAAUGGGAGAAAUCCUGAUGCAGCGACGCCGCGUGUGGGAAGAAGG